Long non-coding RNA from Nothobranchius furzeri (turquoise killifish), 448 nucleotides. RefSeq lists it as uncharacterized. Lineage: Eukaryota; Metazoa; Chordata; Actinopteri; Cyprinodontiformes; Nothobranchiidae. The record is from RefSeq and is a predicted model, not a curated record.
CUGAAGGAUGGGUCGGGUGUAUCCUUCAAUAGGUAGCAUUUCCCAAGAUGCCUUGCGGGCCGGCCAGCAGAAAAACUUAAAAACAAUGGCGGACAGUGAAGCGGGAGCUGUCGGAGAGGAUUGCGCAUAUAAAUGAACAAAAGAGAAAACCAGGGAAUCUAUUAAGCUUAGGGCGGAGACGGACCACAUGAUCACCGGAGCAAAGUAUUCGGCGGCUGUGGCAUGGAGACUAUUCUGGAGAAAAUGGGCAUCCAGGGGAAGGUGACAGCGAUGACCAGCUUCUGGAUCUGAUCUGGGAGGACAUGAGGCUGCAGAGGGAGGCAGAGCAGCAGAGGGCACAGGAGAGAAGGGAGAACUUUGACAGCUUUUAACUUUGCUAGAAAAAAAUGGUUAAUAAAGAUUAAACAUGUACAUAUAAAAGAAAUAUCUAAAUAAAAUCAGUUCUGCA